CAGGAUGUUGGCUUAGAAGCAGCCAUCAUUUAAAGAAAGCGUAAUAGCUCACUGGUCGAGUCGGCCUGCGCGGAAGAUGUAACGGGGCUAAACCAUGCACCGAAGCUGCGGCAGCGACACUAUGUGUUGUUGGGUAGGGGAGCGUUCUGUAAGCCUGCGAAGGUGGCCUGUGAGGGCUGCUGGAGGUAUCAGAAGUGCGAAUGCUGACAUAAGUAACGAUAAAGCGGGUGAAAAGCCCGCUCGCCGGAAGACCAAGGGUUCCUGUCCAACGUUAAUCGGGGCAGGGUGAGUCGACCCCUAAGGCGAGGCCGAAAGGCGUAGUCGAUGGGAAACAGGUUAAUAUUCCUGUACUUGGUGUUACUGCGAAGGGGGGACGGAGAAGGCUAUGUUAGCCGGGCGACGGUUGUCCCGGUUUAAGCAUGUAGGCGGAGGUUC
RNAcentral lists this ribosomal RNA (435 nucleotides) under Klebsiella variicola. RNAcentral describes it as "partial 23S ribosomal RNA". It matches the Rfam family "Bacterial large subunit ribosomal RNA", at positions 1094 to 1533 of the family's 2925-position model. Lineage: Bacteria; Pseudomonadati; Pseudomonadota; Gammaproteobacteria; Enterobacterales; Enterobacteriaceae. The record is from RNAcentral.